AUUGAACGCUGGCGGCAGGCUUAACACAUGCAAGUCGAGCGGAGUGAUGGUGCUUGCACUAUCACUUAGCGGCGGACGGGUGAGUAAUGCUUAGGAAUCUGCCUAUUAGUGGGGGACAACAUCUCGAAAGGGAUGCUAAUACCGCAUACGUCCUACGGGAGAAAGCAGGGGAUCACUUGUGACCUUGCGCUAAUAGAUGAGCCUAAGUCGGAUUAGCUAGUUGGUGGGGUAAAGGCCUAACAAGGCGACGAUCUGUAGCGGGUCUGAGAGGAUGAUCCGCCACACUGGGACUGAGACACGGCCCAGACUCCGACGGGAGGCAGCAGUGGGGAAUAUUGGACAAUGGGGGGAACCCUGAUCCAGCCAUGCCGCGUGUGUGAAGAAGGCCUUAUGGUUGUAAAGCACUUUAAGCGAGGAGGAGGCUCUUUUGGUUAAUACCCAAGAUGAGUGGACGUUACUCGCAGAAUAAGCACCGGCUAACUCUGUGCCAGCCGCCGCAGUAA
Molecule: ribosomal RNA, 503 nt
Filed under: uncultured bacterium
Lineage: Bacteria
Description: partial 16S ribosomal RNA
Rfam family: Bacterial small subunit ribosomal RNA
Source: RNAcentral